This 73-nucleotide transfer RNA is filed under the name Felis catus (domestic cat). It matches the Rfam family "tRNA". From Rfam's summary of the family: Transfer RNA (tRNA) molecules are approximately 80 nucleotides in length. Their secondary structure includes four short double-helical elements and three loops (D, anti-codon, and T loops). The record is from Rfam by way of RNAcentral. Lineage: Eukaryota; Metazoa; Chordata; Mammalia; Carnivora; Felidae.
ACCUGGCUGGCUCAGUCGGUAGAGCAUGAGACUCUUGAUCUCAGGGUCAUGAGUUCAAGCCCCACACCAAGUA